Molecule: ribosomal RNA, 253 nt
Filed under: uncultured bacterium
Lineage: Bacteria
Description: partial 16S ribosomal RNA
Rfam family: Bacterial small subunit ribosomal RNA
Source: RNAcentral
UACAGAGGGUGCGAGCGUUAAUCGGAAUUACUGGGCGUAAAGCGCACGUAGUCGGCUUUGCAAGUCGGGUGUGAAAUCCCCGGGCUCAACCUGGGAACUGCAUCCGAGACUGCAUUGCUAGAGUAUGGGAGAGGGAAGCGUAAUUUCUGGUGUAGCAGUGAAAUGCGUAGAUAUCAGAAGGAACAUCAGUGGCGAAGGCGGCUUCCUGGACCAAUACUGACGAUCAGGUGCGAAAGCGUGGGGAGCAAACAGG